CAGUAGCCGCGGUAAUACCGAGGGUGCGAGCGUUAAUCGGAUUUACUGGGCGUAAAGCGUGCGUAGGCGGCUUCUUAAGUCGGAUGUGAAAUCCCUGAGCUUAACUUAGGAAUUGCAUUCGAUACUGGGAAGCUAGAGUAUGGGAGAGGAUGGUAGAAUUCCAGGUGUAGCGGUGAAAUGCGUAGAGAUCUGGAGGAAUACCGAUGGCGAAGGCAGCCAUCUGGCCUAAUACUGACGCUGAGGUACGAAAGCAUGGGGAGCAAACAGGAUUAGAUACCCGCGUAGUCCCUGUCUCUUAUAC
This 301-nucleotide ribosomal RNA is filed under the name uncultured bacterium. Its description in RNAcentral is "partial 16S ribosomal RNA". It matches the Rfam family "Bacterial small subunit ribosomal RNA", at positions 509 to 807 of the family's 1533-position model. The record is from RNAcentral.